AGAGUUUGAUCCUGGCUCAGAUUGAACGCUGGCGGCGUGCUUUACACAUGCAAGUCGAGCGGCAGCAUGACCUUCGGGUUGAUGGCGAGCGGCGAACGGGUGAGUAAUACAUCGGAACGUACCUUUUAGUGGGGGAUAACGCAUCGAAAGAUGUGCUAAUACCGCAUAAUCUCUGAGGAGGAAAGGCGGGGAUCACGUAAGUGACCUGUCGCUGAAAGAGCGGCCGAUGGUCGAUUAGCUAGUUGGCGGGGUAAAAGCCCACCAAGGCGAUGAUCGAUAGCGGGUCUGAGAGGACGAUCCGUCACACUGGGACUGAGACACGGCCCAGACUCCUACGGGAGGCAGCAGUGGGGAAUUUUGGACAAUGGGGGAAACCCUGAUCCAGCAACGCCGCGUGAAUGAAGAAGGCCUUAGGGUUGUAAAGUUCUUUUGUCAGGGAAGAAAGUUUCUGUGCUAAUAUCAUAGAACGAUGACGGUACCUGAAGAAUAAGCACCGGCUAACUACGUGCCAGCAGCCGCGGUAAUACGUAGGGUGCAAGCGUUAAUCGGAAUUACUGGGCGUAAAGCGUGCGCAGGCGGAUAUGUAAGUUAGAAGUGAAAUCCCCGGGCUCAACCUGNGAACUGCUUUUAAGACUGCGUAUCUAGAGUUUGUCA
RNAcentral lists this ribosomal RNA (654 nucleotides) under uncultured bacterium. RNAcentral describes it as "bacterial SSU rRNA". It matches the Rfam family "Bacterial small subunit ribosomal RNA", at positions 8 to 653 of the family's 1533-position model. The record is from RNAcentral.